This 307-nucleotide ribosomal RNA is filed under the name uncultured euryarchaeote a118ev. Its description in RNAcentral is "bacterial SSU rRNA". It matches the Rfam family "Archaeal small subunit ribosomal RNA", at positions 1 to 311 of the family's 1478-position model. Lineage: Archaea; Methanobacteriati; Methanobacteriota. The record is from RNAcentral.
AUUCCGGUUGAUCCUGCCAGAGGCCACUGCUAUCGGAGUUCGAUUAAGCCAUGCGAGUCGAGAGGUGAAAGACCUCGGCAUACUGCUCAGUAACACGUGGAUAACCUACCCUAAGGUGGGAGAUAACCCCGGGAAACUGGGGAUAAUACCCCAUAGUCUAUGGAAGCUGGAAUGCUCUAUAGUCGAAAGAUUUAUCGCCUUAGGAUGGGUCUGCGGCCGAUUAGGUAGUUGUUGGGGUAACGGCCCAACAAGCCUUUGAUCGGUACGGGUUGUGGGAGCAAGAGCCCGGAGAUGGAUUCUGAGACAC